Molecule: unclassified non-coding RNA, 274 nt
Filed under: uncultured Pezizales
Lineage: Eukaryota; Fungi; Ascomycota; Pezizomycetes; Pezizales
Description: sequence contains ITS2
Source: RNAcentral
ACAACCAUCUCGAAUCCCUUUCUUUUCCGUAUCCGGAGGGUGGGGGGAAUCGGUGUUGGUGGUGGAGGGAAUGGAGUUUGUUGAGCUUGCCCACUAUAUGUUUGGCAAAUCUCUCCUCCCCACUGAAAUUUGGUGGUGGGAUACUUGGGUUUUGGUGGGAUUUGAGGGGAUAUGAUGACCUUGAUGAUCUUCUUCCCCUCGCUUUCUGAAAUUCGCACAUUGAGUUUCUUAACCCAGUCAGCUGUCCCCCAUAAUAACAUCAAUCAUAUCCAAA